GCACAAGCGGUGGAUGAUGUGAUUUAAUUCGAUGCAACGCGAAAACCUUACCCACCUUUGACAUGUACGGAAUCCUUUAGAGAUAGAGGAGUGCUCGAAAGAGAGCCGUAACACAGGUGCUGCAUGGCUGUCGUCAGCUCGUGUCGUGAGAUGUUGGGUUAAGUCCCGCAACGAGCGCAACCCUUGUCAUUAGUUGCUACAUUCAGUUGGGCACUCUAAUGAGACUGCCGGUGACAAACCGGAGGAAGGUGGGGAUGACGUCAAGUCCUCAUGGCCCUUAUAGGUGGGGCUACACACGUCAUACAAUGGAUGGUACAAAGGGUCGCCAACCCGCGAGGGGGAGCCAAUCCCAUAAAGCCAUUCGUAGUCCGGAUCGCAGUCUGCAACUCGACUGCGUGAAGUCGGAAUCGCUAGUAAUCGUGGAUCAGAAUGUCACGGUGAAUACGUUCCCGGGUCUU
This 458-nucleotide ribosomal RNA is filed under the name uncultured Acidovorax sp. RNAcentral's name for it is "bacterial SSU rRNA". It matches the Rfam family "Bacterial small subunit ribosomal RNA", at positions 923 to 1382 of the family's 1533-position model. Lineage: Bacteria; Pseudomonadati; Pseudomonadota; Betaproteobacteria; Burkholderiales; Comamonadaceae. The record is from RNAcentral.